UGGGCACAGCCUCCCGGGGGAGACGGGGAGACGGGCGGUCAGCUGCACUUCCAAGGAGGGCUGAGGUGCCUUCCCUUUCUCUCUCUCUCCGUCCCUGCAGGAAGAGCCUGGCCUCUCUGACUGACAGUGACAGAUUAUCUUAUCAAAACAUGGGCCCGGGACCACACUGUGAUUGGCUGGGCAGAACCAUGGGGCUGGAGGAGUCUUCUUGGAGAGAAACGAUUAUCAGGCAUUUUAAGAACAGGGAGCUGAAUGCUACUCACAGCUGGCAGUUCUUGUUUAUGACAAGUAAUAAUUGCCUCAGGUGCGGAGGAAAGCCGGGGAAGGCUCAGUGAGUUCAUUCCGAGAGGACGCUCUGAGCAAGGGUUGGGCUCUGGACACAAAGGCGUGAGGGGAAGCUGGGCCAGGGGGCCUCAGAUGGACUCACUGGGGGCUGGGGGAGCAUCAUGAGUGGCCCUGAGUGAAGAUGUGUUUCCAUCUGUGCCCCUGGGAAUACCUUCUGCCAGGUUAGGAGUACGUUAGUUUGGUUUAGUGAUUUUUCAUGCUGGUUCUGGAAUCAAAGACUCUUGGUGGGAUUCUUGGCUCUACCGUUUACUGUGCAAAUUUGGACAAAUGACGAACAUUUUUGAGAUCAGUUUCUUCAUCUCUCGAAUGGAAAUAACGAUUCUGUGAAGAUCGAGAUAACGCACGGAAGGCAUUUAACACAAUCGCUCUGACGUAGCAGAUACCACAUCAUGAAUCAGUGCUGUGGAGAAGUUCAUGUGAAGAGGGGGUCAAGGACUGCAAACAACCACAUAAAUGAGCUUGGAAGGAGAUCCCCCCAGUUGAACCUUUAGAUGAGACCACGGUGUCCAACAGCUUAACUGCAAUCUCACGAGAGAACUUGAGCCAGAGGCACCCAGGAGUUGAUGGAGGAUGCUGAGGCCUGAGGCCACGCUCCUCCAGCUUUUCAAGUCUCGGUGAUUUUGGAAACAGCUGCAGGGACUUCACCCCCUGCCAGGCUUUGGACAGCGGUGGCCCCUUCAGAUCAGUGGAAGGCUCUCCUCCUUUUCCUUCCUCCCUCGGAGGUUUUCUUUUUGCACGUUGGACUUCUCUUCAUGGAUCAUCUGCCAGAUAGGUGGACCAAGAAUUCUUACUCUUUACAGAUUUUCUUCCCUUAAUGGUCCUGUUCUGUGCUGUCACCCUGGCACUCUUAGCAGCUGGCAGGAAAUGUUUAUAGAGCAAGCUUUUCUUUCUCUUUUUAAUAGCCUUCUAGGCUGCCACCUCCCAAAUAAGAACCUCGUUAACCAGAAGGACUCUAGGCUACUGAUUUAUAUUCCAGUCAUACCAAGAGGAAAAGAAAUGACAAAGGGAAAAAGAAAAUGCCAAAGUAUCCAUGGACUGGUUCCAACACCCUGUCUGAUGACGAGUGUGUAUAUCUAUUUAAGUUCUGGGUGCUAAGGGAUUCCUUCCAGAUUUUAGUAUUUGACCUAUUACCCUUGUGUCACAUGGAUUCUCUGUACCUCUUGUGGGUUUGCUGAAAACAAGGGUAAGAAUUUAAUUGUUCCAUGCCAUUUAAAUAAGAAAUCUAUUACUUUCAAAUAAUAAAGGCACUUAUUUCAACAGAGAUGUUAGUAUCUUAGUAAAGAUGGUGUCCAAGCUCACGGUGUCUUCGGAGGAUGGCUAAGGGCUCACCGCCUAUCACCCUGCACAGACACUGAAGGGCCAGCAUCCCUCCGUGAGUAGUGACCCGAGGGCCAUAAAACACAGCUGAAAGUCUUUGGUGGUCCGAAUUCCAGCUCAGUGCUUCAAGGAAGGCUUCCAGGAGGAGGAAGUGCCUUUGGAAUGGGGCUUUGGAACUGGCGUCAUAGAGAACGCAGGCUGUUCCCCAAUAUCCACGCCCCUCUACUUCCAUAGUAGUAGAAUCCCUAAUUUUUAGCUGGGGCCUCCCCCAUACAAAGUAAAGUUUUUUUUUAAUAUUGCUUGCAACAAUGGCCCCAAUUAUUCCCCUUCCUGUACACACAUCCUUCUCCAAAGUGACUUUGUAACCCCUCCUAUUUGGUGGUGGAGUCUAUUCCCCACCCCCACCUCCCACCCCCAACUUGAAUCCAGGCCAGACUUGUGACUUGCUUUGGCCAAUACAACGUGAUGGAAGUGACAUUGUGCCAAUUCUGAGCCUAGACCCCCAGAGGCCUUGCACGCUUCCACUCAAAAUCUUGGACUCCUGCCCAACCACCAUGUGGACAAGCCAGAGCUAGCCCUCUGGAGGAUAGGAGCCCACCUGGAGCAGAGACAAACUGUCCUAGCUGAGGUCAUCCUAGACCAGCCAGCACCCAGCCAAGCAGGCAGCUGACUGCAGGUACACAGUAGGCUCAGCCAAGACUACAAAAACUACCCAGCUGAACUCAGCCCAAAUGGCCAACCCAUAGAACCAUGUGCUAAAUAAAUGCUUAUUGAUUUUACUUUUAACAAAUUGUUUUAUUGAGGUCAUAUUGGCUUAUAACAUUGUAUAAAUUUCAGAUGUACAUUAUUAUAUUUCAGUUUCUGUAUAGACUGAAUUGUGUUCACUACCAACAGUCUAGUUUUCAUCUGUCACCAUACAUAUGUGCCCCUUUACCCUUUUUGCCCUCCCCCCACCCCUUCCUCUCCAGUAACCACCAAUCUGUUCUCCUUAUCUAUGUGUUUGUUUGUUUAUCUUCCAAAUGUGAAUGAAAUUGUAUGGUAUUUGUCUUUCUCUGACAUUUCGCUUAGCAUAAU
Equus caballus (horse) is the source of this 2736-nucleotide long non-coding RNA. NCBI's taxonomy places the organism in Eukaryota, Metazoa, Chordata, Mammalia, Perissodactyla, Equidae. The record is from Ensembl.